UUCCCUGUGGCUCAGCUGGUAGAGCAUGGCGUUUGCAACGCCAGCAUGGUGUGUGCAACACCAGGGUUGUGGGUUCGAUUCCCACGGGGGACC
This is a non-coding RNA of Salmo salar (Atlantic salmon), 93 nucleotides long. The record is from Rfam. Lineage: Eukaryota; Metazoa; Chordata; Actinopteri; Salmoniformes; Salmonidae.